RNAcentral lists this transfer RNA (71 nucleotides) under Pirellulimonas nuda. RNAcentral describes it as "Planctomycetes bacterium Pla175 tRNA-Thr". Lineage: Bacteria; Pseudomonadati; Planctomycetota; Planctomycetia; Pirellulales; Lacipirellulaceae. The record is from RNAcentral.
GGCGACCGCCGCGGCAGCGGCGGCGCUUGUCGCGCUGCCGAGCAGGCGGCGUUCGGCCCCUUGGGUCGCCU